AGCCUCGGCUUGGUUCUCCCCAAAGCCACCUCAGACCCAGGUAGUGCAUUUGGGACGUGGGAGGCAUCUUCACAGCUGCUGAGCACUAGGUAGAAACUCGCUCCUCCAGCAGAUAUUUGUCGGGCACCCGCUAUGGUUUCAGCCUCUAGGACCGCUCUGUGGACAAGGCAUCUGGUCCUGCUCACAGGGACCUCCCUGUCUCUCAGGAGAGACACUGGACAAUGCCCAGCAGGCGCCACGAAUCACUAGACAGGCAGAGUACGUCAAAGCUGUGUCCCCCCGACCCCCGUGUUAGAGGCUGCAGCAGGGUGAGAGGGAAAGAGAAAAGAGGCCGUAGGAAGCCGGAUAAGGACGGGGCUGGCAGGCCAGAGCACACAGCCCAAACACUGCAUUUCAAAAGCCUCUUGAGCCUACAGAGGUACAGAAUCACACGCCCAUCCCGAACAACAGAAAACCAGACAAAACCCAGGGAACAAAUAAUUUCCCACAUUCAGACGCGGGCGGCACAGGCCUGUGCUUCUGGGCACUGGAGUCUGAGGCAUUCUGUUAUAGCAACAGAACACAGUCUCGGACUCAAGGAGAGAAAAGUUACUGAAGAUCGCAGACAGGACCAAGACUUGCCGGAGUUUCCUCUAAUGAGGGACCAUCCUCUCACUGAACAGUAUCAUUAACUGGGAACCACAGAAGCACCACGCCUUGCAGGAGAAGAGCCGGAAGUCACACAGGGCCAGAUCCACUGAAUAAGGUGGAUGAGGACGCAGUCAUUUAAAAGGAGCCUGCACCUCCGUUAGCUGACACUGCUGCGUUCACCGGAUUUUUGAUCAUGCAUAAUAAAGACACUCAGGAAAGGAAACUUCCAGAACUGCUUCAGAAAGUGGCCAGAACAAUGGGGUAACUGUGUUUACAGCAAGGUGUAUUAAUGGCAAUGUGUCGUUACUCGAAUGUAUCUUUUAAAUGUACACAUUCACCACAUAUUUCUAUCACACCUCAUAUACAGUAGUAGAAAAUGUGACUCAUUGACAGGAGAAAAUUCAGUCAAAAGGAACACACCACUAAGUGACAGAGAGGAUGGAAUUAACAGAGAGGGACGUAAAAGUAGCCA
Molecule: long non-coding RNA, 1102 nt
Organism: Fukomys damarensis (Damara mole-rat)
Lineage: Eukaryota; Metazoa; Chordata; Mammalia; Rodentia; Bathyergidae
Exons: 4
Source: RefSeq, a predicted model, not a curated record